CUGCUGCCUUCCGUAGGAGUUUGGGCCGUGUCUCAGUCCCAAUGUGGCCGUCCACCCUCUCAGGCCGGCUAUUGAUCGUCGCCUUGGUGGGCCUUUACCCCGCCAACCAGCUAAUCAGACGCGGGUCCAUCCCAUACCACCUUGGUUUUCAAACAAAAGCAUGCGCUUUCUGUUGUUAUGCGGUAUUAGCACCUAUUUCUAAGUGUUAUCCCCCUGUAUGGGCCAGGUUACCCACGCGUUACUCACCCGUCCGCCACUAAGCCUUUCCCUUUUCCCG
This 277-nucleotide ribosomal RNA is filed under the name uncultured bacterium. RNAcentral describes it as "partial 16S ribosomal RNA". The record is from RNAcentral.